RNAcentral lists this unclassified non-coding RNA (208 nucleotides) under rhizosphere metagenome. RNAcentral's name for it is "partial ribosomal RNA internal transcribed spacer region". The record is from RNAcentral.
GUAGGUGAACCUGCGGAAGGAUCAUUAAAAAUGAAGCCGGGAAACCGGUCCUUCUAACCCUUGAUUAUCUCAAUUUGUUGCUUUGGUGGGCCGCGCAAGCACCGGCUUCGGCUGGAUCGUGCCUGCCAGAGGAAACAAACUCUGUUUUUAGUGAUGUCUGAGUACUAUAUAAUAGUUAAAACUUUCAACAACGGAUCUCUUGGUUCUG